This is a non-coding RNA of Sus scrofa (pig), 9310 nucleotides long. Lineage: Eukaryota; Metazoa; Chordata; Mammalia; Artiodactyla; Suidae. The record is from RefSeq and is a predicted model, not a curated record.
CGAACGGUCGCGGCGGCGACAGCUACCGCUUCGGAGGAAGCGGCUGUGGAGAAGGAAGAAGGGAAGCUGGACGGGGCGGGAGUCAAAACCGGGACCCUCGUCAUGGGUCCGCGAACCUAGAGCGGCGGAAGGUACCGGCCGGGAGCCGAGCUGGCCGCCGUUCCUUCCUGUGGCCCCCAUGGCUGAGGACUGGCUGGACUGCCCGGCCCUGGGCCCUGGCUGGAAGCGCCGUGAGGUCUUUCGAAAGUCAGGUGCCACCUGCGGACGCUCAGACACCUAUUACCAGAGCCCCACAGGAGACAGGAUCCGAAGCAAAGUUGAGCUCACCCGAUACCUGGGCCCUGCGUGUGACCUCUCCCUCUUUGACUUCAAACAAGGCAUCUUGUGCUAUCCAGCCCCUAAGGCCCAUUCCUUGGCUGUCCCCAGCAGGAAGCGGAAGAAGCCUUCAAAGCCAGCCAAGGCUCGGAAACGUCAGGUUGGCCCCCAAAAGAGUGAGGUCAGGAAGGAGACCCCAAGGGAUGAGACCAAGGCUGACGCUAACCCAGCCCCAGCUUCACUUCCUGCACCUGGGUGCUGUGAGAACUGUGGAAUCAGCUUCUCAGGGGAUGGUACCCGAAGGCAGAGGCUCAAGACUUUGUGCAAGGACUGCCGAGCACAGAGAAUUGCUUUCAACCGGGAGCAGAGGAUGUUUAAGCGUGUGGGCUGUGGGGAGUGCACAGCCUGCCAGGUAACAGAAGACUGUGGGGCCUGCUCCACCUGCCUUCUGCAGUUGCCCCAUGACGUGGCAUCGGGGCUGUUCUGCAAGUGUGAGCAAAGACGGUGCCUCCGGAUUGUGGAAAGGAGCCGAGGAUGUGGAGUAUGCCGGGGCUGUCAGACCCGAGAGGACUGUGGGCGUUGUCGAGUCUGCCUUCGCCCUCCCCGCCCUGGUCUCAGGCGCCAGUGGAAGUGCGUCCAGCGGCGUUGCUUACGGCACCUUGCCCAUCGCCUCCGUCGCCACCAUCAGCGAUGUCAACGACGCCCUUCCCUAGCUGUGGCUCCCCCUGCUGGUAAACAUGGCCGCCGCAGGGGAGGCUGUGACUCCAAGGUAGCUCCACGGCGGCGGUCCCGAGCACAGCCACUGCCUCCGCUUCUCCCGUCACAGCCUCCAGAGUCUCCAGAGCUGCACCCCAGAACCCUGGCCCCCUUGCCACGUGCCGAAUUCAUCUAUUACUGUGUAGACGAGGACGAGCUACAGCCUUAUACGAACCGCCGGCAGAAUCGCAAGUGUGGGGCCUGUACAGCCUGCCUGCGGCGGAUGGACUGUGGCCACUGUGACUUCUGCUGUGACAAGCCCAAAUUUGGGGGCAGCAACCAGAAGCGCCAGAAAUGUCGUUGGCGCCAAUGCCUGCAGUUUGCUAUGAAGCGGCUGCUGCCAAGUGUCUGGGCAGGGUCUGAGGAUGGGUCAGAGCCGCCCCCACCUUACCCUCGUCGAAAAAGGCCUUGCUCUACUCGAAGGCCUCGUCUGGGUCAGACCCUGAAGCCUCCCUUGGCCACACCUACAGCCCGACGAGACCAUACCCAGACUUCAAUGAAGCAGGAAACGGGCGGUGGCUUUGUGCUGCCCCCACCUGGCACUGACCUUGUGUUCUUACGGGAGGGUGCAAGCAGUCCUGUGCAGGUGCCUGGCCCAGCUCCAGCUUCCACAGAAGCUUUGUUGCAGGAGGCCCAGUGCCCUGGCCUGAGUUGGGUUGUGGCCUUACCCCAGGUGAAGCAAGAGAAGGCGGAUGCCCAGGAAGACUGGACACCGGGCACAGCCAUCCUGACUUCUCCUGUAUUGCUGCCGGGCUGCCCCAGCAAGACAGUAGAUCCAGGCCUUCCAGCUGUGAAGCAAGAGCCACCUGACCCUGAGGAGGACAAGGAGGAGAACAAGGAUGACUCUGCCUCUGACUUGGCCCCAGAGGAGGAGGCAGGAGGGGCUGGCACGCCCGUGAUCACGGAGAUUUUCAGCCUGGGUGGAACCCGCCUCCGGGACACAGCAGUCUGGUUGCCAAGGUCCAAGGACCUUAAAAAACCUGGAGCUAGAAAGCAGUAGACUGGAGGCUUCUGCAGACUGUAGGACUCAAGGUGAUAUUUACAGACCGACUCUAUGAGAGACAACACUGAUCUGCUCAGAGGCCGGACCAUAGAUGGAUUGCCAGGGCUUGUGUGGGAAUCAAUAGGAACUGGGAAAACCUACCACCAAAUACGAGGAGCAGGCCUGCUCAGUACUUUGAGCUUAUAGAGGAAGUAAGCAGAAAAGGAAAAAAAGAGUAGAAAGUUGUUCUGUCUGCUCCAAUCGGUGCAAAUCCCAGGAGUCUGAGUGCUAAGAAGUGUGGAUAUUAAGGAGGGGGGGAGUUGGGGUGGGGGAGGGGAUGUAAUUUAAAGCCACCUUCAGCCUAAACAAGCCAUCAUCAUAAAUAAUUUUAAGUGGCUUUGGAUGAGACCUGGCAGUGUCUCUAAACAUUUCCUCAGGGAGACAGCAGUUGAGAAUGUAAUGUAAAUAAGUGAGGAAAGGAACUGCUCUUUGGUGAGUUCCUCUUAUGGACCUAAUUUAUUUAAUACUCAAUAUAGUCUUUGUAGGAAGGCAUUGAUUUGGCCCCUUUUUGCAGACAGUAAAACUGAGACUCAAAUUAAAUAACUUGUCCAGUGUCAAACAGCUAGUGUUGAUAGAGCCUAGAAUCAAACCUAGGAUUGUAAAAGCCUUGUUCUAAGUUAAGCCACUAAACUGUAAACUAUAACCUAUAUCCAAUAGUGUAUAAUAAUGUUAUAGUAACAGAAGUUUCCAGUGACCUUGAAAACAAGAUGGAUUUCUCUAAGCAUUAAAACAAAUCCCUUACAUUGCUGCCCCGGGGAUGGUUUUAGGGAGUGCCAAGGCAGCGUGGAUGUGGAUGGUGUCACCUUAGCAGAGCAUCUGUGCCUCCCGAGACUGGGUUCUUCCCAGGACUUGGGUGCUGCAUAGAAUUUCUCAAACACUAAAGGGCAUCCUUUCCCACAGGCUGCUGCUUGUUAUAGUCACUUCCUAUCCUCAGCCAAAGCAAUCUUCAGAAGUAAAGCUCCUGACCUGGCUCAUCUUUCCUCACAAAUUGCGUCCCCUGUUCCUUGGUGACCUUUGUGCUUGGUUUCUGCUCUCAGCCCCUAUCUGCUAGGAAUCUGAGAUCCUGCUUCAAGUCCUGCCUAAGGGCUAGUCUUGGAGCUCAGCCCUGCCUCACUUUUUAUUCUUCAUAAAGUGCCAAAAAGAUUAGACCUGUGAUUCAUUACUUAGUUAGCUUUACAGGGCUGGAGCUGAGUGCAUGCCUCCAUAAAUUUGGUAGCCUCUCUGCCUCCCUUGCCUUACUCUAGUCCCAGCCCUGUAGCUUUAGAUAAUUCAGAUGUAGAUGAAACAUUUCUUCUAAUUCAUACAGUCCUCUGCUGCCCGCCUCUGCUCCUUCUUUUGCCUCACCCUACUUACUUCAGCCAGAGUCAAGACUGGAUAAUUGUUUUGCUGCCCCCAGGGUCCAGCCACCCAACCCCUAGUAUCCUGGUAAUUUUAACAGUAGUGUCCUAAGUGAAAGUUAUUUGAGUAGCAUUCUGACUCGAGAGAUAAAAGAGUGUGGUUACUGUGUGAAUCAGGAUACAAUCAGAAAAGCAGCACCACUAAUAUAAAGAUUAUACAUAUGUGUGUGUAUUUGUAUAUAUAAAGAUGUAUUAUUUUAAGGGAUUUAUUAUAGGGAUUGACCUUAUGCAGUGGUGGGAGCAUUGAACAGUCUCUUAAGGCUGUCGUCUUUGCAUCUAAUGCUGGAGCUUGAAGUCUGCAGGACAGGCAAUCGAGAAGGGAAGAAGGAUGUAAAGUGUGGGAGACCAAGGACACACUGGCGCCCAUGAGCACGAGCUGGAACCCACGAGGAUGGCCUGGAACCCAUGUCAGCCUCUCCCCACCUCCAACUUCGAUGAUAUGGGUGUCCUGCAGAAGAAGCUGGUGCCCUUCAUCACAGAGUUAAAUAUGCAUCUGGCCUAGGAAUUAGAGAAGCUGAAGGAAGAUCCUGGGGAAGGUGGAGUAGCUACAGGCCUGGCUGCAGGUCUGCCUGCUGCCCCAUACCAACGAGGUGAGCCAGCAGAUAAAUGACAACAUGUGUGAACUGCAACAGUGCCUGGUGCCCCUGCACCAACCUUCCAAGUAAAAACAAUGUGCUGCUGCUUCACUUCUGCCCUCCAGUUAUGAUGCUAAAUGUUUCUUGUGGCCCGUCCUAACCGGAAGCAUACGGGGAAGGGAGUACUGGGAAACGUAGCCUAGUCAAGGUGACACAUUACAAAGCUACCCUGCCGUGAAUCAGCUCCCAAGGGUCUCACUACUCACCUGAGGAUUACUUGAUAACGCUACGUUGCUGAAAAUGCAGAGCUGAAGACCAUGGAUUUCAUGGUGAUCCCAGCAAGAUCAGAAAUUCUGUCAAGCCCAACCAGAAAAAAUCUUGCUGGUCUCGGUAUUUUUGUGUCAGUCAAGUCUUGAGAACCUGGCCUAUGUAGGGACUGUACUUAAUACUGGGGUUCAGGAAUGAACAAGAUAAAGUCCAUGCAUUUUUAUUAAAUACAUCCGUAUGUAUUUACAAAUGGUGAAUGGAUUUCCAGCUUUAUCAUGGAACUUAAUGGUGAAAAUACAGAAUUCGGGAAGCUGUUGGGAGGACCUCCCUUGUGUGAACCUUGUUGGGGCCCAAUAGGCAUUGGGAAUAAUAUAAAUAGUUUUUAUCUUUAUGCUGUUCUAUUUUAAAAUUAUUUUUAAAUGAUUUUAUUGUCCCAUGUACUGAUUUAUACACUUAGUGUUUCUUUUGAGAAUGUCUUGAUGGUGCUUAAGUGUUGAUUGACUGCCUCUGAGAAAGUGGUAUAGUGGUUCACAAGCAGGAUCAAGGUCAGGUUCUAUCCAAGGACCUUAGAUGAAUCACUUCUCUUAGGCCUGCAGGGGGACUUGGUCCCACCAGGCUUGGCACCUGGCCUGGCUCCUCCACUCUCUGAAUGUGCCCGCCAGGGGCCACUGGGAUUUCGGUCUUACCACCAGGGCUUGAAAGACGCUGUCCGUCAUCCCUGGCUUGGGCAGCCCUGGGGCGUGACCUCCACCUGGCAAGACUUUCUGUCCCUGAGCUGGCUUGGAGGGGGAAGCCAACUCUCCUCUUCGCAAAAACUCAGCAGGCAAAACCAAACUGGAACUAAAUUAUGGGGCGCGCCAGGGUGAGGGCACGGCACGUGCUCAGGACUGAUGCUGGGAUGUUCCAGGGCAGCCAGGUGUCGCCAAGGGUCUUCUUCUGAUGCUGAAAAUUCAAUGGGAUCCUCUGAGCUGUAGGACCUUGGAGGUUCCUGAUGAGUGCCUGAAUCUCAGUGGCUUUUACCAAACCCUUACCCCCUGUUGAGGGCAUUUUCAUUGCCUCCCAUUUACCCCAAGGCUGUGGUGUCAAGGGUGGUUCCAUCCAGACCAGCCAGCUGGCCAGGUACUCCUGGGACACGAAGAUCAAGGAACCGGCCCUCAGGCCCCCCACCAGGAAACAGACGACCAUCUAAUUUCUUUCUUUUUUGUUUGUUUCAGGCUACGUAAACUCUUAGCAGUAAAUGAAAAUGAGUAUUUUACUGAACUGCAAUUGAAAGAAGAAGCAUUAUAGGAGAUUAAAGACAAAAUGAGAAUUUUUAAAAGAUUGUAAAAGAGAAGAGAGACACUAUUUUGUGGCUGAGAAAGGCUGAACCAGCAAUUCAGGAAAUGGAGUCCAAACCUAGAAACGUACCGCAUACAAAAUCUGAAGUAGGCGGAUUAUAAAUGAUUAAGGAAUGCCAGUCUAUAGUAAAUUGCGGUGUUAAAAUGGGAUGCACAGUAUUAGUUGUAUUUUGGUUAUUACACGUUAGUGACCGACUAGGUGCUGAUUUUUUUUCUGUGCUGUAAUAAUAGUUUUAUGUUCGCCAUCACUUUAGAAUGAGAGGACCAAAGUGUCAUUCUUAUUUGGCUUUUAGGUAAUUAACUGCCACCUUGCUCUUGACCAGAAUUACAGCUGUGGUCUCCGUUUGUGCUGAGGGCCCCUUCUGGGUUUCCUGACCUGUGUUUGUUUUCCUGCCUGGGAUCCGGAAUCUCAGAGCCUGAUUACUUUCCAUUCUGAUCCACAUACUAGCCCUGGCCCUGGUUUUUUCUGCUUCUGGCCAGGUUGUAUCACUGCACUGCCAGCCCCUCUGAUCUGCCCCUCCCAUUCCUAGGGUACUGUCAAGUCUAAACCCUUGUUUCCUGAUGUUAUUAACACAUUUUUUGGUUACCGGUUGGGUUGGCCGACAAAGCAGUUGGGCACGCUCAGCUUUAAUCGUUUUAACUGUAAAAUCAGGAUAAAACCUGCUGUCCCAUCAACCUUUUAUUUGUGAGGCUCAAAGUUUUUAUGUGUGAAAAUACCUUGCAAAUUCCUGUAAAGAACUAGGCAAAUAAGGAUGUCCUCCAAAUUUAACCCGCCCACAAAAUGCCCAUUAACCUUUCUCAUGCUUUUAGACUGAUUACGGAAUAUAAAUAGCAAAGUCAAUUUUAAUGAAAUUAGAUCUUCGACUUCACUUCGGGUUAAGGAGGCCUCUUUUUUUCCUGCUAUUCGAUGAACCUUAUGCGAAGGGAACGAGGUCGGCGGGAGGCCUGGCCAAGGGCGGGGUGAAGACUGAGCCGACUCAGCUCUUCCGCUCCAAGAGGAAGUCGCGAGUGCUGGCGUCUCUGGUCACCAUGGUGACGGGACCAACUUCCGUCCCACUCACCUGCCUCUAGCCCCGCGAGGCGCACCAUGGCAACCAGGCUUGUGCGUCGCGGAAGCUGGUCACCCGGUUUGCAGUGGUUGGGGAAACGGCGGACGCCGUCCCCCAUCCCUAAGGGACUCGAAAAUGUACAGUCAGCGGUUUGGCAUCGUACAGCGGGAAGUUAAGGGCCCCACUCCCAAAGUGGUGAUCAUGGUAAGCACGGGGUGUGUAUGCGGGACCCUACCGCUUUCUGCAUCUUCCCCCAGCUCAGCCCACCCUGGACUCUCACGGGAACAGGUGUCUGAUGCUGCAGCUUGAAUUUUGGAAGAGGGCAGGGUAAGGUCUCUUGCCUAGCUCUCCUGCUCUAUCUCUCCCUAUCUCCCCAAACCCCGUGUCAGUUAAAAUAUUUAGUUUCUGUAUUUGGAGAAUCACCGCUUGAGAUCUUGAGGAUUUUCAGUCUUACAAGACUUCUGAAAGAGAUUGUCCUCUUGAGGUGAGAAGUGUGUGUCAAGGAAAGGGGGCUGGGCCAGGUGACAGGAAAUCUGGGGUCUGGGCUGCCAGUGAUUCAGCUGUUUGAUCCUGGGCUAUGUGUAGACCCCUUGGAAAAUUGUGGAAGGAGGAUUGGGCUGUGAGGGGUUGUGUGUGGUUGUAGAGCCUUUCCUUUGUUGACUCAAGGGUAACAGAAGUAUCCCUGCAGGCCUGGAAAUAGGAGGUUGCUUGCCUUUGCCUUUAAGGCUGGGGUGGUGGUAGGAGGGCAGGGGAAUGCUGCAUGCUGCAGGAUUUGAUGGGUCUAGCUCAGAACCCCAAACACUUGGCCCCUGCACCCACAUCCCUUUGUUCCUACACACUACAGGCUGGAAAACCUCCAUGUGUAGUUAGGCAAUUGUAGCGGUAUUACUUGAGUCCCUGCUGUAUGCACAGCUCUGUGGGAGAUAGAGGGGUGGAUACAGGGGAAGUCUGCUCCCUCUUCUCUAGGUCCAAGGACUAUAGGAUCCGGAAAUCAGUUGCCUGUAGUCUAUUACAGUCUACAGGGUUCAAGGUGAUCAUUAUAGACAAAUUUUAUUAGGGACAGAAAUUGAUGUACUUUGGCUUCUGUAUCCAAACACAGAGCUUAGGGACUGGGCUGUUUGUCAGGUCUUAUUACCUGUGUUGGGACCCAAUAAGGAUUUCUGUUCUACCAACUUAUUACCAACCAGAGAAGCAGGUCUGUUGAAUACUUUGAGUUAUAGAAGAAUAAAAAGGAAAAGGAAAAAGUCAGAGCUAGUAUGUCUCAGAUGCCAGAGUUGAUAAGAAGUGUGAGUGGUAGUGGUUGCAAAGUUGUGGUGGGAGAAGAAUUAAAGCCACCAGACAUGAGACUCGGAUGCUAAACAAUUCCUCCAGGAGAAGGUGGUGAAAGAUGUAUUGCAUGAAGUAAUGGAGAAGCAAAAGGAGCAGCUGUUUGAGAGCCAAGCCUCCUAAAGGCCAAGGGGCAGAGCAACAUCUGGAAAGAAUCCGACACAGCCAUCAGAAACAUCAUGUUAUUUUGGCUUCCACCAAGUCAAAUGAGCGGGAUCGCUUGAAAGCUGAGUGGGACCAGCACAAUGACCGCAAGUUUGUAGACAGUCUUGUGAAAGCAAGAAUCAAGGAUGCCAUGCAAGGGUUUAUCAUCAACACUGAAGAAAGACGAAAUAAGUUACGUGAACUUUUAGCAUCAGAAGAAAAUGAGUAUUUUACUGAAAUGCGAUUGAAAGAAGAAACAAUUGAGGAGAAAAAAGAUAGAAUGAAAGAUAAAACCAGAUUAUUAAGAGAGAAGAAAGAGAAAGAGAGACAGGAUUUUGUGGCUGAAAAGCUAGACCAGCAAUUCAGGGAAUGCUGUGAAGAGCUCCGUGUUGAGUUGUUUUGUAUCCAUCAGAAGGCAGUGUGUGAAGAGCGGAAAGCUCAGAUAGCAUUUAAUGAGGAGCUGAAAAGACAGAAACUGGUGGAAGAGCAGAUGUUCUUAAAGCUCUGGGAGGAAGACCGACUGGCGAAGGAGAAGCGAGAAGUGGAAGAAGCAAGGAGACAGAAAGAACUGGUGGAGAAUACACGCCUGGGGCUGAAUGCUCAGAUCACCAGCAUCCAGGCACAAAGGCAGGCAGCACGGCAGCUGAAAGAGGAGGAGGCCCGCCUCGUGGAAAACAACAAAGCACAGGUGAAACUUGAGAAUGAACAGGAUAAGCUAAAGAAACAGAAGACAAAACAGGAAAUAAGGGCUGUUUUGCAAAAAGCCCUCCAAGAGAAAAUGGAGCAAAUUCAGCAGGAAUACAGAGAAGAGCAGGACUUGAACAUGAAACUCACACAAAACGCCCUUCAAAACCUACAGGAAGAGGCUGAUAAAAAGAAGCAAAAAAGAUGCAACGAAAAGCAAAAGAACAGGAGGAACGUGCUAUGGAACAGGAACGCAUAAAUGAAGGUCUUAAAGAGCUUAACCGUGAAGAGCAGGAGAAUUUUGCAAGGCGCUCCAGUUUAGCCCAGGAAUACAGGAAGCAACUUCAGAUGCAAAUAUGCUCUCGGCAGCAGGCCCGGGAAGCAGAGAAAGAAGAGGAACGCCGAGAGUUUGAAGCGG